RNAcentral lists this unclassified non-coding RNA (344 nucleotides) under soil metagenome. Its description in RNAcentral is "partial contains 5.8S ribosomal RNA, internal transcribed spacer 2, and large subunit ribosomal RNA". The stretch from base 1 to 121 matches the Rfam family "5.8S ribosomal RNA", at positions 35 to 154 of the family's 154-position model. The record is from RNAcentral.
GAUGAAGAACGCAGCGAAAUGCGAUAAGUAAUGCGAAUUGCAGAAUUUCCGUGAAUCAUCGAAUCUUUGAACGCACAUUGCGCCCGCCAGCAUUCUGGCGGGCAUGCCUGUUCGAGCGUCAUUUCAACCCUCGACCUCCCUUUGGGGAAGUCGGCGUUGGGGACCGGCAGCACACCGCCGGCCCUGAAAUGGAGUGGCGGCCCGUCCGCGGCGACCUCUGCGUAGUAAACCAACUCGCACCGGAACCCCGACGUGGCCACGCCGUAAAACACCCAACUUCUGAACGUUGACCUCGAAUCAGGUAGGACUACCCGCUGAACUUAAGCAUAUCAAUAAGCGGAGGA